AAUUCUGCAAAUUUUAUUUGCCAAAAUAACACAAUAUAAUCACAUCAGUUUCAAUUAUUUUGUCAAAGCAACAAAGAGUCCUGUGGCACCUUAUAGACUAACAGACGUAUUGGAGCAUGAGCUUUCGUGGGUGAAUACUCACUUUGUCGGAUGCAUGUAGUGGAAAUUUCCAGGGGCAGGUAUAUAUAUGCAAACAAGAAGCAAGCUAGAGAUAACGAGGUUAGUUCAAUCAGGGAGGAUGAGGCCCUGUUCUAGCAGUUGAGGUGUGAAAACCAAGGGAGGAGAAACUGGUUUUGUAGUUGGCAAGCCAUUCACAGUCUCUGUUUAAUCCUGAGCUGAUGGUGUCAAA
Molecule: long non-coding RNA, 349 nt
Organism: Gopherus flavomarginatus (Mexican gopher tortoise)
Lineage: Eukaryota; Metazoa; Chordata; Testudines; Testudinidae
Exons: 3
Source: RefSeq, a predicted model, not a curated record